Non-coding RNA from Camellia sinensis, 1149 nucleotides. The record is from RefSeq and is a predicted model, not a curated record. Lineage: Eukaryota; Viridiplantae; Streptophyta; Magnoliopsida; Ericales; Theaceae.
UUCUCCAUCAGUCAACUGUGCAGUCACGUUUCCUCACUGCUAGUAAAAUAUAUAUAUAUAUAUAAAAGUUCUCGGGGUCAUAGAAAGAUGCUUUCAGCACCCAUGUGCCUCUUGUUUUCCAGCUUUUGAAGUCACAAGUUUCACAGUAUUCUCCAGCUUUUGAAGUCACAAGCCUCACAACUCCAGUCACAGGCCUUACAGUUCCCAGUUCACAAGCUUAACAGUUAUCCACUUUGCCUAUAAAAGAAGCUCCUCAGUCAAGGCCAUUUCAGAGUUGGAAAGAGGUUCUAUCAAAUCUCGAUUGUUGUAGCACUGAAGUUUCUGCAAAAUUUCAGUAUUCAUCUUCGGCUGUCAAUGAAGAAGAAAGCUCCAAUCAUCUUCUGGAAAGUAUCAUUGUUGAAAAAUUUGAUAACCUAACUAAUGAAGUUGAAUCUGACGAGGUUCUUGAUUGUUCAAUACCUGAAAACGCGAGUGACCCAGGAUCUUUCUCAACAGUUGAUGAAAAUAAUGAAAAUUCCCAUACUAAAUCUUCUGCCAGUGGAAGUUCUAGCGACAGCCCGACUUUGUCUGCGAUUCUUAGGAUGGAUUCAGUGGCUCGAUUGUCAAUGCUGAGGAAACGGAUAAGCUUGGUGGAGAACGUGACCGCUCUGUCAAGGAACGAUUGUGCAUGGCUGUUUGCUCUGUGCGCUGCAAUCGACACUCCACUAGAUGCUGACACGUGUGCAGCCCUUAGGUGUUUGCUGAGGAAGUCUGCAAGCUUGCGAGCUGCAAAAUCUGAAGUCAAUGAUGAAGUUGUCAUGCUUAAUAUUCUGGUAACGAUUACGGGUAAAUACUUUGGGCAGUUAGAAUACUGAGGUUCUUAUAAGUUCAUCUGGGGCAUUGCAAUGGCCAUGGAUUGUGCUUGCGUUUUUUGUUUUUGUUUUUGUUUUUGUUUUCAAUCCAGGGUGUAAUUUGUUUUAUUUGCUCAAUAUAAUGGUUGUCUAUGCCACACUUGGUAAAUGAAUGUGUUACCACAGAAAUGCAUAUGUUGUUUACUUUGGCAUGCAUGUUUGAUUCUCAGUUAUGAGGAUGAACAAUGGAUUAGGUUGUUAUCUUUUGCGUCCAUUGAGAAGAAAAUAAAGAAAACAUAGGACCUGUUUGGUUGGUGUA